AGUGAACGCUGGCGGUAGGCCUAACACAUGCAGGUCGAACGGCAGCACAGUAAGAGCUUGCUCUUACGGGUGGCGAGUGGCGGACGGGUGAGGAAUACAUCGGAAUCUACUUUUUCGUGGGGGAUAACGUGGGGAAACUUCGGCUAAUACCGCAUACGACCUACGGGUGAAAGCAGGGGAUCUUCGCACCUUGCGCGUUUGAAUGAGCCGAUGUCGGAUUAGCUAGUUGGCGGGGUAAAGGCCCACCAAGGCGACGAUCCGUAGCUGGUCUGAGAGGAUGAUCAGCCACACUGGAACUGAGACACGGUCCAGACUCCUACGGGAGGCAGCAGUGGGGAAUAUUGGACAAUGGGCGCAAGCCUGAUCCAGCCAUACCGCGUGGGUGAAGAAGGCCUUCGGGUUGUAAAGCCCUUUUGUUGGGAAAGAAAAGCAGCAGGUUAAUACCCCGCUGUUCUGACGGUACCCAAAGAAUAAGCACCGGCUAACUUCGUG
This 492-nucleotide ribosomal RNA is filed under the name uncultured bacterium. RNAcentral's name for it is "partial 16S ribosomal RNA". It matches the Rfam family "Bacterial small subunit ribosomal RNA", at positions 29 to 507 of the family's 1533-position model. The record is from RNAcentral.